UGACCAGACUAUACGGCAGCGGAAACGUUUUUCAGUUUACGAGGAAAGUCCGGGCAUCACAGAGCAAGGUAACUGUUAACGACAGCCGAGGGCGACCUUAGGGCAAGUGCAACAGAAAUAUACUUCCUCAGUAUUUUUUAUACUGCGGUAAAGGUGGAAAGGCGAGGUAAAAGCUCACCAGAGUGCAGGAGACUGUACUGCUAUGUAAACCCUACCUGAUGCAACGUCUAUUGGUGCUUUGUAUCUUAACGUCUGCUCGGCGGAUACAAAGUAAUGACGGCUUGAGCUUAUCGGCAACGGUAAGCCUAGAUAAAUUGCCGUACACGACAGAACCCGGCUUAUCGGUCUGGUCAUUUC
Molecule: RNase P RNA, 357 nt
Filed under: Ruminococcus sp.
Lineage: Bacteria; Bacillati; Bacillota; Clostridia; Eubacteriales; Oscillospiraceae
Description: RNase P RNA component class A
Rfam family: Bacterial RNase P class A
About the family: Ribonuclease P (RNase P) is a ubiquitous endoribonuclease, found in archaea, bacteria and eukarya as well as chloroplasts and mitochondria.
Source: RNAcentral